CGUUCUCUGCAGUGUUCGAGUAGUGGGUCGGGUAACCCCUUGAUCCUAGUUAAUCUUACCCAGGGUGAGCGGUCGUCGGCGUAAAUGUGCAUGUCCGCCUCGUUGUGGAAAGCCUGAUACGCCGCGUUGUUCCCCCACUUGAGCCUCCCGGUUCAAGGGUAACGACCCGAGACGGCACCGGCGGAGGGCGC
Candidatus Contendobacter odensis Run_B_J11 is the source of this 191-nucleotide non-coding RNA. It matches the Rfam family "6S / SsrS RNA". Rfam says of the family: E. coli 6S RNA was the first non coding RNA to be sequenced, but its function was unknown until recently. It consists of 184 nucleotides that fold into an extended hairpin structure with a large single-stranded internal bulge. The 6S RNA specifically associates with RNA polymerase holoenzyme containing the sigma70 specificity factor. Lineage: Bacteria; Pseudomonadati; Pseudomonadota; Gammaproteobacteria; Candidatus Competibacteraceae. The record is from Rfam.